CACGUAGUUAGCCGGCGCUUCUUAUCCAGCUACCGUCAACCCACCCACAAAAGGGACAGGCCUGCUUCACUGGCGAAAGAGGUUUACAACCCGAAGGCCUCCAUCCCUCACGCGGCGUCGCUGCAUCAGGCUUGCGCCCAUUGUGCAAUAUUCCCCACUGCUGCCUCCCGUAGGAGUCUGGGCCGUGUCUCAGUCCCAGUGUGACCGUCCACCCUCUCAGGCCGGCUACCCGUCACCGCCUUGGUAGGCCAUCACCCCACCAACAAGCUGAUAGGCCGCGAGCCCAUCCCCCACCGAAGCAAUAUCUUUCCCACACCCACCAUGCAGCAGGCGCAGAAUAUCCCGUAUUAGCCACACUUUCAUGCGGUUAUCCAGAAGAAGGGGCAGGUUACUCACGUGUUACUCACCCGUUCGCCACUCAUCCAGAACCAGCAAAACCGGUCCCUCACCGUCGACUUGCAUGUGUUAAGCACGCCGCCAGCGUCGUCCUCGUCGCACGACG
RNAcentral lists this ribosomal RNA (502 nucleotides) under uncultured Actinomyces sp. RNAcentral's name for it is "partial 16S ribosomal RNA". The record is from RNAcentral. Lineage: Bacteria; Bacillati; Actinomycetota; Actinomycetes; Actinomycetales; Actinomycetaceae.